UAGGAAAGAAACUGAUACAGGCACCAGGG
Molecule: non-coding RNA, 29 nt
Filed under: Rattus norvegicus (Norway rat)
Lineage: Eukaryota; Metazoa; Chordata; Mammalia; Rodentia; Muridae
Source: RNAcentral